GUGCAAAACUGAUUUGGAAGUCUUAGUUGUAGAGAAAACUCACCUCACAAAUCCUUCAUCCUUUUCUUUCAAGAAACUCCCUUUGUUUUUCUCAAAGAAGUCCAAGCUUGGAUCCAAGACCAAAAUCUUCACUUCACUUCUGAGUUUCUUAAGUAACGAGUAGAUGCAUGGGGAAAAAGGGGAUGAACCUACUAAAUAAAAGAAAGUUUUUCCUACUACUAUUUCAAGAGAAUGAGUACUGUAAUAUAUUUUGCUAAACUUUGGUAUUGUACAAAUAAUGAUGUCGUUUUCUAAUAAAAGUACUAUUCAGAUA
Rosa rugosa (rugosa rose) is the source of this 313-nucleotide long non-coding RNA. RefSeq lists it as uncharacterized. NCBI's taxonomy places the organism in Eukaryota, Viridiplantae, Streptophyta, Magnoliopsida, Rosales, Rosaceae. The transcript is spliced from 2 exons. The record is from RefSeq and is a predicted model, not a curated record.